RNAcentral lists this ribosomal RNA (301 nucleotides) under uncultured bacterium. RNAcentral's name for it is "partial 16S ribosomal RNA". It matches the Rfam family "Bacterial small subunit ribosomal RNA", at positions 509 to 807 of the family's 1533-position model. The record is from RNAcentral.
CAGCCGCCGCGGUAACACGGAGGGUGCAAGCGUUAAUCGGAAUUACUGGGGGUAAAGCGUGCGCAGGCGGUCCGCUAAGACAGAUGUGAAAUCCCCGGGCUUAACCCGGGAACUGCAUUUGUGACUGGCGGGCUAGAGUAUGGCAGAGGGGGGUAGAAUUCCACGUGUAGCAGUGAAAUGCGUAGAGAUGUGGAGGAAUACCGAUGGCGAAGGCAGCCCCCUGGGCCAAUACUGACGCUCAUGCACGAAAGCGUGGGGAGCAAACAGGAUUAGAGACCCCUGUAGUCCCUGUCUCUUAUAC